Etheostoma spectabile (orangethroat darter) is the source of this 146-nucleotide long non-coding RNA. RefSeq lists it as uncharacterized. The record is from RefSeq and is a predicted model, not a curated record. The transcript has 4 exons. Lineage: Eukaryota; Metazoa; Chordata; Actinopteri; Perciformes; Percidae.
UGGUGCCUUCUAGGCUGAGAAAAGCCAGAAAAUGUGUUUUUGGCUCAUGUGGCUAAUAAAGGAUACCAAAUCCCAGAAUGCACUUGCUUCGCUGCUCUGAGUCCACUCCCAAGUCACGCCUACCGCUAGACAGACAGACAGGGAGG